This is a long non-coding RNA of Passer domesticus (house sparrow), 5161 nucleotides long. RefSeq lists it as uncharacterized. The record is from RefSeq and is a predicted model, not a curated record. The transcript is spliced from 5 exons. Lineage: Eukaryota; Metazoa; Chordata; Aves; Passeriformes; Passeridae.
UGUAAAUACAUGGAGUCUAUGUCACUUAUUACCUGGUCCUGACCCAUUGUGACAACAGCUCACCCAGUGUGGAGGUGUCACUGAGGUUAAACAGGCCCAUGUCCUGCACCAACACUGCUCCACAAAGAAAAAAAAAAAGUUUCAUUGUCAUAGGACAUCCCUUCUAAGGGAACAGAAGGCCCAGUGUGCACACCAGGUGUAUUCCUUGGAGAGCUCUGCCUCCCUUUGGCCUGGUUAAUGCUGUGAAGAGAAAGCCCUGCUUUGGUAGGGCCUCAGGCCACCAUUUACCAUUGUGUGCUCAGGUGGGCAGAAAUGAAGUUACAGCAAGAAGACCAAUGGCAAUUAGGAGAGACUUGAGGGGCCUCAGGAUAGCAAUUUAAGGAAUCAAGAGCACGAGUGGUAUAUUCAAGAUCAACACCUGGUGCCAAGCCUGGUGUCACCAGAAGAAUUUGGGGUCAGUUAACAUAGAACCAGGCCUGCUGGCAACACACAGGUUAUGCCUGUCUCAAAAUGGAAAAAGGAUCUUUGCACAGGGGUGAUAAGGGUUAAUUGGAAGAGCUUUAAACUGGAUGUGAAGAAAAGGUGGCAGCAUAGUGCUGUAUAUUAUGGAAUGUUUUGGUUGUCUAGCUUAAUGAUGGUGAUGAUAGGACUGCAAGUCUGUGGGUAAGAAUUGGGGGGAAGGCUAACAAAGCAGAUCUCCUGGUGGGAGCUUGUUAAAGACCACCCAGCCAGGAUGAAGAGCGAUGAAAUAUUCUAUAAGCAGAUGGGAGGAGUCCCACAAUCGCUACAUCAUAGCACAGCAUAAAAGAGAGGAAUAAUCUAAGAAGUGCCAGGAGUGUGUGAGGGAGGCUUCCCUGGCAUCAUGACAACCAGGAGAGCUACUGGAGCUACCAGUGGUGAAGAGAGAGAGGCUGAUGGAAGAUGUGUGCAACAAGAAGAUGAGUGCCAGAGGCAAGACUUGCAGAAGAGGAAACACUUCUACAGCACCUGAACACUGUGGUGACAAUCCCUGGUUUCUAAUCCCAAAAGAUCUCUUAGCAGUGCUGCAAAAUCUUCGUUUCCCCCUGAAAGCCUGAGACACCUUUCUCCAAAAACUGAAAGACUUCCAUUAGGUUCAACAGAUUUUCAAACAUGGUCCUAUCCAAGAUGAGUGCUUUCUUUUAAUGUGUGAAUAGAGAUUUCAGGAGGAUUAUUACUCUGAUGGCAAGGAAUGCACGAGGAUGACAAGGAUGAUCAAAUAUAUGAAAUUACUCUUAUUAAAGAGCAGCAAAGAAGGCUGGGGCUCAGCCUGAGAAAAAAGAAAAAGAGCUGAUAUAUGCUACUGGUCUUAAAACCAGGGAGGAUGACCUGGCAAAGCCAACAACUAAGCACCACACAGCUGCUUACUUCUUUCCCUGUGUCCCCAGUGGGAUGUGGAGGAGAAUCAGAAAAAGACUCUUGCUCAUCUAUAAAUCAUCUUGGUUACACAAAAUCCACUGAAACCACACCAGACUGGAGGGCAACAUUCACUGAUGGCAGCAGAGAAAAGAACACUCAUGGGGGGUUCACACAGUGUCAAGCCUCCAGGAAGAGCUGUGCAGGGAGGAGGCCUCAUCAAAGAGGCCAGAAAUGCUUGAUUUUGCAUUCAGACAAAGUGAAUUCAGACAAAGGAUGAAGCUGGAGGUCAGUGGUGGCUUCUGAGUAGCUCCCUAUCUUCUGAAAUAAAUGGUUCUAUUUGGUUCUAUUACAAGACCAAACAAGCCAGCACUAAAAAAAAAAAAACAAUAAAAAAUCUUCCCCAGCAUAGAUAUUACAAGGAGAAACCCUUGCAAAGUGAAAAUUUGAUUACUUGCUUGUUCUCUGGGUUUUUGAUUGUUUUUGAGGUUUUGUUUUGUUUUUUUUUUUAAUUUUGGGGGGUUUUGGGGUUUUUUUUUGUUUGUUUGUUUGUUUGUCUGGUUGGUUGGUUGUGGUUUUUUGGAGUUUUUUGGGGGGAUUUUUUGAGAGGGGAUUUUGUGGUUUUUUGGAGGGCUUUUCUGUGGUUUUUUUUUUUUUUUUGGUGGCUUUCUUUCUUUGUUUUUGUUUUUUAUGGCUUUGGUUAUGGUUUUGCUUUUGUUUGUUUGCCUGUUGUUUAUUUAUCUUUUCAUUAUUUUUCCUUAAACAAAAAUUGAGUUCUCAUUGUGAAUUCCAGACUUGCAUUGAUUCUCCUGCAUUCCUCCCUUGCAGUUUUCUCAAGACAUAUCAAAGGACACCAUACAUGUAGCACUGGCUGCUUGAACAGCCUUUGUAGGAACAUGUUUGGGCCCCACCUUUUUUUACUUUAAACUUUCUGCUCUACAAAUCCCGAAGACAAGAUUAUUUGGCACUCCACAGCUCUUUCCUACUGCAUUGCUAAAAUGAAAUGUUUCAAUAUUCUUGCAAUGAAACAUUCUGACAUUAUCAAAAUGCAAAGAGAAGAUUGAAAUGAUUCAUUUGGACUCACUCCCAUAAAAAAUGUCACUGAAAUCAGCACAUUUUCACGACAAGUUUUGAUUUGGGCAAAGCUGCAUAUACUAUUUAUUUUUGCCUUGGAAAAUGGUUUCAUUAAAAACAAAUGACCAGCUUUAAUUACAACUCACUGAGCUUUUGCUCCAAAAGUCAAAGCUAUUAAAACAGCACUUAGUCUGUAUGUACAGGGAAACAGAUUCUGUCUUACAAGUGGCUAUGAAAAACAUCUUAUUCCCCUUCAGAAGGGCUCGUAUUUGAUGUCCCUGGGACUGCAAACCAAAUUUGUGUUUUGCCUUUAAGUGGCGUCCACAAUUUAUAAGAAAAAAAAAAUCAAGAAUUUAAUAAACAAUUCAAAGGCAAAAGGUGAAGGGCGCAUCCCAAUCCUUUGAAGAAAAUUACCAUUGACUUUUGAGUUUAGUUCUGGAAAUGGAAAGCAGGAACUACAAAGCUGUGUCUGCACGGCACUGGAGCCUGAGCAGAGAUCUGAGACAGGACCAAUUGAGCCAUCUUCCAAACCAGAGUCAAUACGGCCACGCCAGAGCAGCCCUCUGUCCAAACUGAUUAGGCUGCUGAAAAGCUGGAUUUUGUGACUUCGUCCAUGCUAUUAAAUUAAAUGUGCCUUAGCCCACAGCAUGACACUGAGGCCAGCUGGCACGCAAGAGCUCACGUCAGUAUUGAACACUCCAUUGCUGUGCAGUGGGUGGGUGCAUCCUGACUGCCCCCUGGGAGGGACCCCUGGCCCAAAACUAACACCUAAAAAAGGUUCAGACACGGUUUGGGGGAGUGUCUGCUUGCCUGAGAUGAAAAUGAGCCAACAAUUUAUCUCUGCAAUUAAUCCAUAAAGCUGUGUUGCCCAAUGCUACUUAAUUUAGUAAUAGAAAUACGGCAAAUUAAUCUGCCCGUGUGACUGACUUGUACAUUUUAAUGAGUGAAUAUCCCAGCCUUUCCUGAGCUGUGAGACACAAGACCUCAUUGCUGCAGCCUGAGAGACACCUGCCAAGUGCCCAUCUGAGCCCCCACCUCAUUACAGGGCUCCAGCACCAGACCUUGGUCACGACCAUCCUGCUGCAGCUCCCAGGGCAAAUACUGACACACAUCCCUCACCCACCCCAGGCUGUGAAGAGUUUAUAUUGUUUUCAGAAUAGGUUUUCACUAGAUCACAGGCCAGCUAAUUUGUGAUUGGCCCUUCAGAGAACUUCCUUUCCCUGGCAAGAUAUUAUGGUUUUCUUGGUUGACAAGGACCAUGAGUCAAAGUCAUAGAAUCUUUAAAGUUGGAAAAGUCCUCUAAGAGCGUGGAUUCCAACCAUUAACUGCCAUAUUCACUAAUAAACCAUGUCCCUGAGCACUACAAAUAUACAUUUUUUUUUCAACAUAGUAUGAAUGGUGGUUUCACCACUUUCCUGGGCCGCCUGUUCCAUGAAAAAAUUUUUCCUAAUAUCCAAUUUAAACCUAUCCUAGAACAACUUGAUGCCAUUUCCUCUUCCUCUUUGUUACCUGGGGAAAAAGACCAACCUCCUCCUCCUCCCCUCCCCUUCCAUCUGCCUCCAACUCAUUUCAGGAAACUGUAGAGAGAUAUGAUGAACCCAAAUCUGGAGCAGGAUCCUCAAGGAAAAAUAGGAUCCACUUUACCCUCCCUCCAUGGUGCUUUCUGUUGCUGUCAGGGCAAAACCAACUUAAAACUCCUAAGUUUUGGAACAACCACUGUCUGUGAGGCAGAGACAGGGAGGAUGUUAGGCUUAACUGGUCUCUGCUGCUCUCAUGCUCUCUCCCCUUCCCUGUAUAUCACUCCCAGCAUGGCAGGUGCAGCCAGGAGAGCAAACACCAGUCACCUCACACACUCCAGGAAUGCACACUUGUAAAUCAGUAAUAUUGUGUCACCGAGCAGAGCUUUGAAUAAGGCCCUAAUUGUAGCAUUUCUACGGAUGAACCACUAAAUGAGUAGCUGGGAUGUCAAAGAAAGAGAAGGUGAUGAACAUCAGGAAGUGCUUCCGGAGAGGUGGGUUGAGGAGAAUGGCUGGGUGGGUGAAAGGGAAAGAGCUGGGAAAGCAGUUGAUAAAAGGAAACUUUGUACGACACUAAGUAAAAUUCUGUGAGAAAUUAAAGCCCACACAAGAACAAAGAUGAGUAAAGAGCUCCAGACACUCAGCAGCGCUUCAGCUGGGUGUCUGGAGUCUUUGACAGAAGAUGUGAUUCAUCAGCUCCCACACACAUCUUUUUUUAAAGAUGCAUGCUCAUUUCAACAAAUGUGAAAUUUCCAGGAAAAGCAAGAGCACACCACAUCCACACAGCCCUGAACAGCCUGACGUGGGCACACUGAUGCCGUGACAGGGAUGCUAGCCAAGCACGGCACAACCACCGUGCCAUCUUCUGCCCAAGGGGUGGGCAAGAGGCAGCAUCUCCCCCUUCUUCCCUCCCUUCCACUGCUUCCCUUGGGAAAGAUCUGAGUUCUCUCUUGUCUGGGUUGGGUGAUUCAUCAUAUAUGACGGAAAAGAAUUUAAAAAAAUAUCUCCUGUGGGACAGCUAAGUUUGGUGGAUAGAUCAGCAUGCCUAGAGAUCUUGAAGGCCUCUGAAUAACUAUCCAGGGGGUGUUCAGAGCCUGCCACAUGCUGCAAAGUUGUCCUCUGCUAUCCAGAGUUUAUUUUUAAUAAAAAAAAACCAAAAAACCAAGCAAACCAAACCAAAAAAACAAACAAACAAA